This 1152-nucleotide ribosomal RNA is filed under the name Staphylococcus sp. RNAcentral describes it as "bacterial SSU rRNA". It matches the Rfam family "Bacterial small subunit ribosomal RNA", at positions 38 to 1198 of the family's 1533-position model. The record is from RNAcentral. Lineage: Bacteria; Bacillati; Bacillota; Bacilli; Caryophanales; Staphylococcaceae.
CGUGGGGGUGCUAUACAUGCAAGUCGAGCGAACAGACGAGGAGCUUGCUCCUCUGACGUUAGCGGCGGACGGGUGAGUAACACGUGGAUAACCUACCUAUAAGACUGGGAUAACUUCGGGAAACCGGAGCUAAUACCGGAUAAUAUAUUGAACCGCAUGGUUCAAUAGUGAAAGACGGUUUUGCUGUCACUUAUAGAUGGAUCCGCGCCGCAUUAGCUAGUUGGUAAGGUAACGGCUUACCAAGGCAACGAUGCGUAGCCGACCUGAGAGGGUGAUCGGCCACACUGGAACUGAGACACGGUCCAGACUCCUACGGGAGGCAGCAGUAGGGAAUCUUCCGCAAUGGGCGAAAGCCUGACGGAGCAACGCCGCGUGAGUGAUGAAGGUCUUCGGAUCGUAAAACUCUGUUAUUAGGGAAGAACAAAUGUGUAAGUAACUAUGCACGUCUUGACGGUACCUAAUCAGAAAGCCACGGCUAACUACGUGCCAGCAGCCGCGGUAAUACGUAGGUGGCAAGCGUUAUCCGGAAUUAUUGGGCGUAAAGCGCGCGUAGGCGGUUUUUUAAGUCUGAUGUGAAAGCCCACGGCUCAACCGUGGAGGGUCAUUGGAAACUGGAAAACUUGAGUGCAGAAGAGGAAAGUGGAAUUCCAUGUGUAGCGGUGAAAUGCGCAGAGAUAUGGAGGAACACCAGUGGCGAAGGCGACUUUCUGGUCUGUAACUGACGCUGAUGUGCGAAAGCGUGGGGAUCAAACAGGAUUAGAUACCCUGGUAGUCCACGCCGUAAACGAUGAGUGCUAAGUGUUAGGGGGUUUCCGCCCCUUAGUGCUGCAGCUAACGCAUUAAGCACUCCGCCUGGGGAGUACGACCGCAAGGUUGAAACUCAAAGGAAUUUGACGGGGACCCGCACAAGCGGUGAGCAUGUGCUUUAAUUUCGAAGCAACGCGAAGACCUUACCAAUCUUGACAUCCUCUGACUCCUCUAGAGAUAGAGUUUCCCCUUCGGGGACAGAGUGACAGUGUGCAUGAUGGUCGUCAGCUCGUGUCGUGAGAUGUGGGAGGUCCCGCACGAGCGCAUCUAGCCUAGUUGGCAAUCAUAGUGCACUCUAAGUUGACUGCAGUGACAUCGAGAGUGGAUGACGUCAAAUCAUCAUGC